Molecule: ribosomal RNA, 260 nt
Filed under: uncultured Leptotrichia sp.
Lineage: Bacteria; Fusobacteriati; Fusobacteriota; Fusobacteriia; Fusobacteriales; Leptotrichiaceae
Description: partial 16S ribosomal RNA
Rfam family: Bacterial small subunit ribosomal RNA
Source: RNAcentral
AUGGCGGACGGGUGAGUAACGCGUAAGAACUUGCCCUUUAGACUGGGAUAACAGAGGGAAACUUCUGAUAAUACUGGAUAAGUUAGUAUAUCGCAUGAUAUGCAAAAUGAAAGCUACGGCACUAAAGGAGAGCUUUGCGUCCUAUUAGCUAGUUGGUAAGGUAAGAGCUUACCAAGGCGAUGAUAGGUAGCCGGCCUGAGAGGGUGGACGGCCACAAGGGGACUGAGAUACGGCCCUUACUCCUACGGGAGGCAGCAGAA